UUCCGGUUGAUCCUGCCAGACCUGACUGCUAUCGGAUUGAUACUAAGCCGUGCGAGUCUUUGUAGUAAUACAAGGCAGACGGCUCAGUAACACGUAGUCAACCUACCCUAUGGACGAGAAUAAUCUCGGGAAACUGAGCAUAAUUCUUGAUAGAUCAUAAUGCCUGGAAUGGUUUAUGGUUAAAAUGAUUCGUCGCCAUAGGAUGGGACUGCGGCCUAUCAGCUUGUUGGUGAGGUAAUGGCCCACCAAGGCGAUUACAGGUACGGGCUCUGAGAGGAGAAGCCCGGAGAUGGGUACUGAGACACGGACCCAGGCCCUAUGGGGCGCAGCAGGCGAGAAAACUUUGCAAUGUGCGAAAGCACGACAAGGUUAAUCCGAGUGAUUUCUGCUAAAGAAACCUUUUGCCAGUCGUAAAACCGCUGGUGAAUAAGGGGUGGGCAAGUUCUGGUGCCAGCAGCCGCGGUA
This 465-nucleotide ribosomal RNA is filed under the name uncultured archaeon. RNAcentral's name for it is "bacterial SSU rRNA". It matches the Rfam family "Archaeal small subunit ribosomal RNA", at positions 1 to 472 of the family's 1478-position model. The record is from RNAcentral.